RNAcentral lists this ribosomal RNA (200 nucleotides) under uncultured bacterium. Its description in RNAcentral is "partial 16S ribosomal RNA". It matches the Rfam family "Bacterial small subunit ribosomal RNA", at positions 8 to 229 of the family's 1533-position model. The record is from RNAcentral.
AGAGUUUGAUCAUGGCUCAGGAUAAACGCUGGCGGCGUGCCUAACACAUGCAAGUCGAACGCCCUGCGCAAGCAGGGAGUGGCGGACGGGUGAGGAACACGUGGGUUAUCUACCUUGAGGUGAGGAAUACCGGCGAGAAAUCGCCGACAAUACCGCAUACGUUUGGAAACAAACAAAGUCGCAAGACGCCACAAGAUGAG